UCAAAGUAAAGAUAUUGAAAUAAUUUAUUUCCCUGAUACAAGUGUAAAGUAUUGCUAUAGUACAAUUAUAGGCCUACAAAGCAUCUUAAAGCACGGAUUUUUAAAGUUUUUAAGGCAUGUGGAAGAUAAGAAGACAGUAUAUACAUGGGACACACUAUGGUGUCUUUUUACUACAGAGGACUACACAGUUUGUAACAGGAUAUAGUUUUAUGAAACGCCAGUGCAGAUAAAAUGGGUGUAAUGAGGUAUGACACACUAUAAACAGAAUAUCACCUUGUCUAGUUUUACCAACAUUAUUAUUAUUAUUAUUAUUAUUAUUAUAUCAUCUUGUAUUGAUUUAGAUUUUAAGAAAUGUUAGAAGAAAAAGAAAAGGUGGGUAGUCUCAGAAACUUUGGUGGAAGGGAUCCACCAUCCAGUUAUCUUCUUAAGCACUUAGGUUCACAAAGCGUUAGAGCCCCAGUCCAUCAACAGGGGAUAAAACUAAAACACAAAAUCUUCUACAGUAGGUGUUCAGUUGGGUUUGAAAGGCAAUGUCAUACAUUUCACAAAAUGUUCACUCUUUUUAUCAUUCUUUGAACUCUUAUUAGCAAAGAAACAUUUCAUCAGAGGACAGAGGUGAUAACCCAGAGCCACAGCAUCGUGACAAAUGGAGUGAAACCACAACACCGACCGUGUUGCUUUACUGCAGAGGGCAAGGGUCCAGUUCUUUCCUUUAAAUUGUCACGUGUUCAAACAUCAUUAUAGCAUGAAAGUUGACCUUUGUGAAAUGACGUAGAAGAAAAUCUUACGUAGUCUUACGUAGCAGAAAAUCUUCUGUAUGUUUAAACAGGUGUAAGAGCCAUGCCAGCAGCUCCGUGAGUGCUAAUUUUAGUAAGCUAUUGUGGUACGUUGCAAAGUAGUCAUUAUGAAUGGGAAGUUUGUCUGAAAAUUCAGUUCAUCUAAUGAAUUUGUCUUUUUAUUCAUUUUUUAAUCAUGUAAUUUUGUAAUGUUCUUCGGGGUUAAAACAGGGCGUUACUCAUGCAAAUGUGAGUGAAUGUACAACAGCUGUUGUUGUUGUACACUGGUGUUGUGAUAUGUUGGUGAAUGUAUAUGUUUGAAAUAAAAAAUGAACUGAACUGAACAACUAAUGUGGAUUUUCACACAUACCUGAAUGAUCUUUGAACAUAGCUCUACGUAAAUACAAGACAAACGAGCACUGAUCUAUUUCUGAAGCUGAUGAGCUGAUGUUUACUUCCUCAUGGAACCAGCCACUGAGAAAUUUAAACAUUUACAGAAAAUCAGAAAUAUCAGCAAAGAAACACAAGGAUUUACUAGCAGCAGUGUAAACGAUAACAGGCAAAGAAGCAGCUUUGUAGUGUUUUACUGCACGUCAGCACAGUAGUUCAGUGCUACUAAUACACAUUAACACAUUAACAUAUCUGCUAGUUGUAGAGGUGUUUCCAUUGAUUUGGAAAGUCGAGUUUCACCUAACAUUAAAAGAAAGAGGAACAACAGAGCCUAAUGCACUUUUUUUCAAGAACAAAUGCAGCCAUUUUUUUUUAAAUGAACAAGAUGUACAUGCAAUAAUUCUUAUAUAACUUUUCUUGAAAUUAAAAAUAUUUUUCUGAAUUAUUAAUUUGGAUACUUAUCUUAGAAAUUCCAAAAACAUGUAAUAAAAAAACUGCUCUGUUUUCCUGAAUUAGAUUAGUCCAGUUUAAUUUUUUAUAGAACCAGUCAAAAGUUUGGACUCGAAAAUAAAAAGUAUUUCUUUUUUCACUAGCUAUUUUUGUGCAAUGCUAACAGCAGUGUCUUGAUUUCAUGUGAUGACAUCACGAGCUGUACUUUUCUCUGUCUUUGCUUCACACUCAUCUUCCCUGCAUGUGUGGGGUUUUUUGUGUGUAUUUGCAUCUUUCAACUCUACACCUUGCAUAUCAGUUGACAGAUACACCAGUGGGACUGUCUUUUAUGUGUUAUCAUUCCCUACAUAUACAUUCAUAUUGCUAUGAUGUCUGGAAGGUGCACAGUGAAAUAAUAACACACCUCAAAUGUUUUAAAACUAAAGUAUGAUUAUUAAAUGUAAAGUAUAGAAAGUGGUUAAAGUGUAGCGAGUAAAAGUAAAAAGCUGUUAGAAGAUUUGGGAGUCAAUGGAAGUACAGAUGGAUUAAAAACUGGCAGCAGAAGUAACAAGCCCUACUCGGCGCAAGCAGGAAGAACAUUCCCACAUUCAUGGAGGAGGCAUCUCAUUAUUUUGGAAAAACAGAGCAGAUUUUUUCUGAGAUUGAAACACGGGACUUUUUUUUCUCGAGUGACUGCAUUACGCUUCUACAAGGAUCAUAGUGAUGCUCACAGUGGAGAAAAUGAGAAGAACAGGCUACUUCUUGUAGUUUGUGCCAUGUUUGCUGAAGUCCUGAUGCCUUCAUGUUGUUGGACUGCGGUUGGUGUUUCAAAGUUCACAAGUGCAGGUGGUUGGAAAGGAGCAAUAACCUUGUUUCUCCUCA
Molecule: long non-coding RNA, 2477 nt
Organism: Astatotilapia calliptera (eastern happy)
Lineage: Eukaryota; Metazoa; Chordata; Actinopteri; Cichliformes; Cichlidae
Source: Ensembl